Molecule: transfer RNA, 75 nt
Filed under: Verrucomicrobiota bacterium
Lineage: Bacteria; Pseudomonadati; Verrucomicrobiota
Also listed under: 1 other name
Description: Verrucomicrobia bacterium tRNA-OTHER
Rfam family: tRNA
About the family: Transfer RNA (tRNA) molecules are approximately 80 nucleotides in length. Their secondary structure includes four short double-helical elements and three loops (D, anti-codon, and T loops). Further hydrogen bonds mediate the characteristic L-shaped molecular structure. tRNAs have two regions of fundamental functional importance: the anti-codon, which is responsible for specific mRNA codon recognition, and the 3' end, to which the tRNAs corresponding amino acid is attached (by aminoacyl-tRNA synthetases). tRNAs cope with the degeneracy of the genetic code in two manners: having more than one tRNA (with a specific anti-codon) for a particular amino acid; and 'wobble' base-pairing, i.e. permitting non-standard base-pairing at the 3rd anti-codon position.
Source: RNAcentral
GGGUCCGUAGCUCAAUCGGUUCGAGCAUGCACCUUGAUAAGCGCAGGGUCAUUGGUUCGAGUCCAGUCAGACCCA